Long non-coding RNA from Oreochromis niloticus (Nile tilapia), 1683 nucleotides. RefSeq lists it as uncharacterized. The record is from RefSeq and is a predicted model, not a curated record. The transcript has 3 exons. NCBI's taxonomy places the organism in Eukaryota, Metazoa, Chordata, Actinopteri, Cichliformes, Cichlidae.
AUUUAUGGUCAUUGUUCUUUGUGUGUGUUUCUUGCCAGUGUGUUCUCCCGUUCCUCACGUCCUCUGUACUUUGUCUUGUUUGAAUCCUUUUGUCACUUCCUGUUUUACUUUGACAAUCAUUCUCAUGUGUCUUCAGUGAUCCUGAUUGUAUUCACCUGUCUCGUUUUAGCCUGCUCUCCUUUGUGCGUGUUCAUUCUGUGGUCUUUCAUCAGUCUUUGUACGUGUGCUAAGUUACCCACCAAAUCGUGCUGUGUACGUCCUGUCAGAGAUUUUAAAACCUUUUUUUUUUUUUAUCAGAACCAUUAUAAGUUGAGCAGGCCUCGUUAUAGUUUCACGUUGCAUCUUCACAUAAGCGUGUGUGUGUGUGGAGUGACUACACUGAUCCAGUCGGAGGAUAUUUCUGACAGCUGGGUUCAUUUUUAAAUUGGAGUGUGACUGCAUUUGAACAGAUGUGUAUUUAGUUUUUUAUUUUCUUCAUGUCUCAGGUAUUUCAGUAAAAAACUGUGCAGUGUGUGGUGAGGGCACAGUGCAGGGCCCAGGAAGGAGAGACCAUAUUGUGCACAGUAGAAAACAGUAGAAAACAAACAAACUAUGAACUGUGGACUUACGAGGUGAGAAGUAAAGAGUUGGCAAACGUUAAAACUUAAUCCUGUUUUGGCUGUUCAGCUGAUAUCCGUCUACUUAGUAAUAAGUAAUUGCAUCAUUGUAUGUCAAUAUGUAAACUCUGUUUUUUGGGCCACACGCUGACUGGGCAUGUGUAAAUUGUGUGUACAAGAAAAACAUGACACUGCUAGGUGUGUACAGAAUAUUUUCAUGGCGCUAUCCCACUGACGCUGGAGAAUUAGGUUUACUUUUUAGUUUUUCUUUAAUAUGAAAUUUAAUGUCCAAACUUUGUUUGUUUUAUUCUUUUUCUUUGUUUGCUUUUUUGUUUUUUAACUGUGGAAGCAUUUUGGAAAGUUGCAUCUUUUCUAACUUCCUCUUUGGAGAUAAUUGUAUCGGUUUCUUCAGACUUUCAGGAUUUCUUGCCUUAGAGGUGCAGACUUCUCCACUGCAACAUCAUCACCCCUUUUCUCCACUUUACCUGGAGGUAAAGAGUCAUCGUGCAUUAUGGAGGGUGGAUAGUCCCACCAUAACGGGUGCACCAUUCAUCUUCUAGCGGUGAUGCUAUUGGUUAUCAAUGAUUCCACAGGGGCAUGACAAUCAGACUAUGGACCAUUGUUCCCAGAGUUAUGGCUUUCAUCUAUUUUCUUGGAUCAACAUUGCCCUCUGAGUUCCGACUGACUUGGUCGGACUUGUGAACAGACUGAUGAUCAUCACAUCAGCCAUAUCAAAUAUUUGAAGCUCUUAACACUCAUGAAUAACAUCAUAUACGAAGCCUCGACAUCAGAUGAGAAACGCUGACCUGCAGACUCCCUAAUGCGACCAAUCAAUAUUGCACGGAGGACAGCAGACUGCCAGACGUACCAACACCAACGCUACCUUCAACGAAUGAGGCCGGGAAUUCCUUUAGCUACAUCACCACUGAUGUCCCAUCCAACUGACCCUGCAAAGUGAGAGCGAUUGAUUAAACCAGUUUAAUGCGAAUGGUUCCAAAUGACCCUGUUUUAAAUAUAAAGCCUUCUCACUUUCAUGCUGUGGCUGGCAUAGAUCAUCGCUUCAUCUAUCUAUAGAACCAUCAUUGAU